AGCCAGACUCCUACGGGAGGCAGCAGUGAGGAAUAUUGGUCAAUGGUCGGGAGACUGAACCAGCCAAGCCGCGUGAGGGAUGAAGGUACAGAGUAUCGUAAACCUCUUUUGUCAGGGAACAAAGGCGGGGACGUGUCCCCGGAUGAGUGUACCUGAAGAAAAAGCAUCGGCUAACUCCGUGCCAGCAGCCGCGGUAAUACGUAGGGAGCAAGCGUUAUCCGGAUUUACUGGGUGUAAAGGGCGUGUAGGCGGGCCUGUAAGUCAGAAGUGAAAUCUGGGGGCUUAACCCCCAAACUGCUCUUGAAACUGCGGGUCUUGAGUGAUGGAGAGGCAGGCGGAAUUCCCAGUGUAGCGGUGAAAUGCGUAGAUAUUGGGAGGAACACCAGUGGCGAAGGCGGCCUGCUGGACAUUAACUGACGCUGAGGCGCGAAAGCGUGGGGAGCAAACAGGAUUAGAUACCCCUGUA
This 466-nucleotide ribosomal RNA is filed under the name uncultured bacterium. Its description in RNAcentral is "bacterial SSU rRNA". It matches the Rfam family "Bacterial small subunit ribosomal RNA", at positions 329 to 792 of the family's 1533-position model. The record is from RNAcentral.